CUGGGGGCUUGAGGAUGUGAGGGGCUUUAGACUACAUAUUGGGUACAGUGUACACUGCUCAGAUGAUGGGUAUACCAGAAUCUCAGAGAUCACCCCUAUAGA
This is a long non-coding RNA of Cebus imitator (Panamanian white-faced capuchin), 102 nucleotides long. RefSeq lists it as uncharacterized. The record is from RefSeq and is a predicted model, not a curated record. The transcript is spliced from 3 exons. NCBI's taxonomy places the organism in Eukaryota, Metazoa, Chordata, Mammalia, Primates, Cebidae.